GUGCCUCUCGUAGCGCCCAAGCGUGCUCCAAGCCCCUUGAGCCUAUUUUCACCACCAGGGAGCCUUACCCGUUUCUGGCGUGCAGGCCCGCGAUGUCGGCGGGAAGCCCGAUGAUCUGGCGCGGCACCCACUUGAGACCUUUGUCUCAAGGACCCGGGCAAGCUGACGGCGCCGCGGGGGGCACC
RNAcentral lists this non-coding RNA (185 nucleotides) under Panacagrimonas perspica. Its description in RNAcentral is "6S / SsrS RNA". It matches the Rfam family "6S / SsrS RNA". Rfam says of the family: E. coli 6S RNA was the first non coding RNA to be sequenced, but its function was unknown until recently. Lineage: Bacteria; Pseudomonadati; Pseudomonadota; Gammaproteobacteria; Nevskiales; Nevskiaceae. The record is from Rfam by way of RNAcentral.